Molecule: ribosomal RNA, 253 nt
Filed under: uncultured bacterium
Lineage: Bacteria
Description: partial 16S ribosomal RNA
Rfam family: Bacterial small subunit ribosomal RNA
Source: RNAcentral
UACGGAGGGUGCGAGCGUUAAUCGGAAUUACUGGGCGUAAAGCGCGCGUAGGCGGUUUGAUAAGCUGGAUGUGAAAUCCCCGGGCUCAACCUGGGAAUUGCAUCCAGAACUGUCUGACUAGAGUACAGUAGAGGGUGGCGGAAUUUCCUGUGUAGCGGUGAAAUGCGUAGAUAUAGGAAGGAACAUCAGUGGCGAAGGCGGCCACCUAGGCUGACACUGACGCUGAGGUGCGAAAGCGUGGGGAGCAAACAGG